Molecule: long non-coding RNA, 457 nt
Filed under: Elaeis guineensis (African oil palm)
Lineage: Eukaryota; Viridiplantae; Streptophyta; Magnoliopsida; Arecales; Arecaceae
Description: long non-coding RNA (EGUI_LNC029193)
Source: RNAcentral
GGUUUGGGUUGGCUCGGGAAUGCUGGAGCACCCAAUAGCUGAUUUAGCAUAUGGUGAUCCACCAACAUGGAGAACAAGAUUCCAAUCCACCUUCGAGUGUUGGGCUGAAGAUUCGAAGGUUGCGUGUGUUUGAUUCUUGCUCACCGCGAUAUUUUUUCCAUCAUUUUGGUCAAGCAGAUUUCAAUCCACAUCCAAAAAGCAACGUUCAUCUUUGAAUUGAAAUGACAAUAGUACGGUCAAUGGUGAUGCCUGGACAAAUUAUAUUCUAUACUGAAUCCACCAACAUGGCUGUACACCAUUUCUUCCGAUGCAUUAAAUCAUCCUUAAGACACGUGGCAUCAUCAUACGAGAUCAAAGAGAUAUCAAUCUUGAAGCGUCAGAUCCCAGCAUAUUAAGUUACCUGUAAAUCGGAUUUAAAUCGGUAUUGUAUCUAUAAACUCUUCUAACAAAAAUGUUC